Molecule: ribosomal RNA, 606 nt
Filed under: uncultured bacterium
Lineage: Bacteria
Description: bacterial SSU rRNA
Rfam family: Bacterial small subunit ribosomal RNA
Source: RNAcentral
UGGUGGAAAGUGGCAGACGGGUGAGUAACGCGUGGGAACGUGCCCUUCGGUUCGGGAUAACCCAGGGAAACUUGGGCUAAUACCGGAUACGCCCUUCGGGGGAAAAAUUUAUUGCCGAAGGAUCGGCCCGCGUCGGAUUAGCUUGUUGGUGGGGUAAAAGCCUACCAAGGCGACGAUCCGUAGCUGGUCUGAGAGGAUGAUCAGCCACACUGGGACUGAGACACGGCCCAGACUCCUACGGGAGGCAGCAGUGGGGAAUAUUGGACAAUGGGCGAAAGCCUGAUCCAGCCAUGCCGCGUGGGUGAAGAAGGCCUUAGGGUUGUAAAUCCCUUUCAGCGGGGAAGAUAAUGACGGUACCCGCAGAAGAAGCCCCGGCUAACUCCGUGCCAGCAGCCGCGGUAAUACGGAGGGGGCUAGCGUUGUUCGGAAUUACUGGGCGUAAAGCGCGCGUAGGCGGACCUGCAAGUCGGGGGUGAAAGCCCGAGGCUCAACCUCGGAACUGCCUUCGAUACUGCGGGUCUUGAGUCCGGGAGAGGUGAGCGGAAUUCCUAGUGUAGAGGUGAAAUUCGUAGAUAUUAGGAAGAACACCAGUGGCGAAGGCGGCUC